UGCCAGUGAUAAACUGGAGGAAGGUGGGGAUGACGUCAAGUCAUCAUGGCCCUUACGACCAGGGCUACACACGUGCUACAAUGGCAUAUACAAAGAGAAGCGACCUCGCGAGAGCAAGCGGACCUCAUAAAGUAUGUCGUAGUCCGGAUUGGAGUCUGCAACUCGACUCCAUGAAGUCGGAAUCGCUAGUAAUCGUAGAUCAGAAUGCUACGGUGAAUACGUUCCCGGGCCUUGUACACACCGCCCGUCACACCAUGGG
This 259-nucleotide ribosomal RNA is filed under the name Klebsiella pneumoniae subsp. pneumoniae. RNAcentral's name for it is "partial 16S ribosomal RNA". It matches the Rfam family "Bacterial small subunit ribosomal RNA", at positions 1150 to 1408 of the family's 1533-position model. Lineage: Bacteria; Pseudomonadati; Pseudomonadota; Gammaproteobacteria; Enterobacterales; Enterobacteriaceae. The record is from RNAcentral.